GCGGUCGUGGCGAAGUGGUUAACGCACCGGAUUGUGAUUCCGGCAUUCGGGGUUCAAUUCCCUCGUCCGCCCCA
Molecule: transfer RNA, 74 nt
Filed under: Planococcus sp. MB-3u-03
Lineage: Bacteria; Bacillati; Bacillota; Bacilli; Caryophanales; Caryophanaceae
Description: tRNA-His
Rfam family: tRNA
About the family: Transfer RNA (tRNA) molecules are approximately 80 nucleotides in length. Their secondary structure includes four short double-helical elements and three loops (D, anti-codon, and T loops).
Source: RNAcentral